Long non-coding RNA from Anneissia japonica, 1086 nucleotides. RefSeq lists it as uncharacterized. The transcript is spliced from 3 exons. The record is from RefSeq and is a predicted model, not a curated record. Lineage: Eukaryota; Metazoa; Echinodermata; Crinoidea; Comatulida; Comatulidae.
GGAGACUGUUACAGACAGAUUCAGAUAAAUUUCGCAACACUCACCUAUUAUUAUUAGUUUAAAAAAAACAUCAAUUUAUAUAGAACUGUCAUUGAAAACAAAAGAAAAUAUUUAACAGGAAAUAUUUCACAUGCUGCGGUGUAGACAGGGAAGACGUUGCAUUGGUUUCUGCCAUUUAUAUAUCGAAUUCCUCUGGAUUUAACGUCAACUUGGGAAUUGUUCACAGUUCGUUAACACUUUUGAUAGGCACUGCCGACUAUUCGCGUGACUUGUAGGCCUAAAUUACUUAGGCCUAUUACAUAUCGAUCAGGAUAUAUACAUUAGCAACAUCCGAGUGGAAAGCGUUUAGCUUUUUACCUUGGGAGAUAACAUCGGCGUUGCUGGAACUAUAUAAUGUAUAUUAUAUCAACACUAACACAUAUCGGAUGUAGGACUAUCAUAUCAGACAUACAGUCACGCGUCUAGCAUUGUUUGUAUUCGUUGGUUUAUUACGGAGGUCCAGUAAUUAAUUUUGAGUAUUAUUUAUUAACUGAAAACCAAAGUAGGAGUCAUCGUACCUACAAUCAUGGAGGAAUCAUGCUACAACGUGGGUCUGUACAACAAAGAACUAAAGCAAUAUACAAGCAACGCGAGCAUGCGCAUUGGGAAGAAGUUAGCAGAAGCAGGCGAUCGAACGCAGGAUAACCAAAGAAGAAAACAUAGGAAACAUAGGAUGUGUUUGAUUAUCGUUUGCGCAUAUAUAUUAGUUUCUGGUAUUGCGGCGGUCUCAACAUUAAUUGUUUUACUAUUAAACCAUGGUUCAACGACGUCGGGGGUAUCUAAAUUAAACGUAACAACCUGCUCUUGCUCAGAAAGGUAAGGAGAGUUCAAUCGUUGAAAAAUCGUACCGGAAUGUUUAUGUCAUAGGCGUAUAUAUAAGGAUUGAGCUUGUCUUGCCUUGUUUCAUGUUACUCAGCGCCGGUGUAAUUCAAAAGGCAAAGGAGAGUGUGUGCACAUUUACGGGUGCAUUUUCAUUUUGCUGGAACAGAUAGAGGGGUCUGAUCAUGGUCUGAUGAACAUUUGAUACAGAACAAUCAAAUAAAUUCA